RNAcentral lists this ribosomal RNA (253 nucleotides) under uncultured bacterium. RNAcentral describes it as "partial 16S ribosomal RNA". It matches the Rfam family "Bacterial small subunit ribosomal RNA", at positions 524 to 776 of the family's 1533-position model. The record is from RNAcentral.
UACGGAGGGUGCAAGCGUUAAUCGGAAUUACUGGGCGUAAAGCGCGCGUAGGCGGUUUUUUAAGUCGGAUGUGAAAGCCCCGGGCUCGACCUGGGAACUGCAUCCGAUACUGGAAGACUAGAAUGCGGGAGAGGGAGGUAGAAUUCCAUGUGUAGCAGUGGAAUGCGUAGAUAUAUGGAGGAAUACCAGUGGCGAAGGCGGCCUCCUGGCUCGAUAUUGACGCUGAGGUGCGAAAGCGUGGGGAGCAAACGGG